This 467-nucleotide ribosomal RNA is filed under the name uncultured bacterium. RNAcentral describes it as "partial 16S ribosomal RNA". It matches the Rfam family "Bacterial small subunit ribosomal RNA", at positions 28 to 507 of the family's 1533-position model. The record is from RNAcentral.
GACGAACGCUGGCGGCGUGCUUAACACAUGCAAGUCGAACGGAAAGGCCUCAUUUUGCUUGUGUACUCGGGUGGCGAACGGGUGAGAAACACGUGGGUAAUCUGCCCUGCCCUCUGGGAUAAGCCUGGUAAACUGGGUCUACUACUGCUUAUGCCCUUUCUCACUGUGGGGUUUGGUGGAAAGUUGUUAGGUGUAGUAUGAGCGUGCGGCAUAUCGGCUUGUUGGUGGGGUGUGGUCCUACGAAGGCGACGACGGGUAGCGGGCCUGAGUGGUGGAUCGGCCACAUUGGGACUGAGAUAAGGCCAAGACUCCGACGGGAGGCAGCAGUGGGGAAUAGUGCACAAUGGGCGGAAGCCUGAUGCAGCGACGCCGCGUUAGGGAUGGCGGCCUUCUGUUUGUAAACCUCUUGCAGCAGGAACGAAGCGUAAGUGACGGUAGCGGCAGAAGAAGCACCGGCUAACUAUGUG